Molecule: long non-coding RNA, 456 nt
Organism: Mandrillus leucophaeus (drill)
Lineage: Eukaryota; Metazoa; Chordata; Mammalia; Primates; Cercopithecidae
Exons: 2
Source: RefSeq, a predicted model, not a curated record
CAGAAAGAGUACUUCAAGCAAUAUGAAGUAGGGCUCCAAAACCUGUGCAAUUCCUACCAGAGCCGUGCUGACUCCCGGGCCAAGGCGUCCGAGGAAAGCCUGCGUACCUCCGAGAGGAAGCUCCGCGAGACGGAGGAGAAGCUGCAGAAGCUGAGGACCAACAUCGUGGCACUCCUGCAAAAGGUGCAGGAGGACAUAGACAUCAACACAGAUGAUGAGCUGGACGCCUACAUUGAGGACCUCAUCACCAAGGGGGACUGAAGGCGGGAGAGAGAGCAGCUCCCCUGCCCACCUGCCCUUCAACCCUGUAGCUGCAGGGGGAGGGGGCUUCAUUCAUGGGUUGGUGGUCGCACCUUGGUUUGACUUACAGGGGACAUUUGUGUUUUUGGAGGGAAAGAUACCCUGAUUCUUUGAAUCUUCCUCCUUAAGUUUAUAAAUAUUUAUUUUUUAAAAGAA